GUGCAGCUCUACCGUUUCCUGGUGAGGAGGACCAGAUCAAGUUCAACGCCAUCAUCCUCAAGAGGCUCUUCAUGAGCAAGACUAACCGCCCGCCGCUCUCCAUGCGCCGCCUCUCCAACUUCAUGAAGGGAAAGGGAUCUGGAUAGGUUGCAACUGGGAGUAAAAUAUGCGUCCAAACUGAUCGUCUGGUGCGAAAAUCGACGACCAAGAUCCACUUCAGCUUGGUAGUGACCUGUGAGAGAUCUGUGGUGGUAAGCGGCACGUGUCUGAUCCCUGGGCAUCGGUUCAUUUCUGAUGUUUGAUCCUGGCUGUCGGUUGCCUGUCGGGAUGGCGGAUUCUUUUCGGUUGUUAUGUGCAAGUUUGGCUUCCAGAUGAGAUCUGGCUUUCAGAUUCUUCUGAAACUGAACGCAUCUAUGUUUGGCCAUUUGUACUACAUCUUUCUGAACCGAACACUGCCAUGUUUGGCAAACUGAUGAUACGUGUAUCUUUGUUGAACUCUGGUUAUCUCCAAGUAGUAGUGCUCCUCUUUUGGUUUCCUUUGUUGCUUUAUGCAUAAGAAUAGGCUGAUAAGAACAGAACAUUGAUACUUUGCAUGCUAUUAGCUGAAUGGAUGGCUCUGGUAGUAGAAUGGUAUUAUUGUUUAGGUGCAAUUU
Triticum dicoccoides is the source of this 653-nucleotide long non-coding RNA. RefSeq lists it as uncharacterized. The transcript is spliced from 3 exons. NCBI's taxonomy places the organism in Eukaryota, Viridiplantae, Streptophyta, Magnoliopsida, Poales, Poaceae. The record is from RefSeq and is a predicted model, not a curated record.